RNAcentral lists this ribosomal RNA (440 nucleotides) under uncultured bacterium. RNAcentral's name for it is "partial 16S ribosomal RNA". It matches the Rfam family "Bacterial small subunit ribosomal RNA", at positions 338 to 795 of the family's 1533-position model. The record is from RNAcentral.
CCUACGUGAGGCAGCAGUGGGGAAUAUUGCACAAUGGGCGAAAGCCUGAUGCAGCAACGCCGCGUGAGCGAUGAAGGCCUUCGGGUCGUAAAGCUCUGUCCUCAAGGAAGAUAAUGACGGUACUUGAGGAGGAAGCCCCGGCUAACUACGUGCCAGCAGCCGCGGUAAUACGUAGGGGGCUAGCGUUAUCCGGAAUUACUGGGCGUAAAGGGUGCGUAGGUGGUUUCUUAAGUCGGGUGUGAAAACUCCGGGCUCAACCUGGAGACUGCACUUGAAACUGGGUGUCUUGAGGGCAGGAGAGGAAAGUGGAAUUCCUAGUGUAGCGGUGAAAUGCGUAGAUAUUAGGAGGAACACCAGUGGCGAAGGCGACUUUCUGGACUGUACCUGACGCUGAGGCGCGAAAGCGUGGGUAGCGAACGGGAUUAGAUACCCUGGUAGUC